Molecule: ribosomal RNA, 254 nt
Filed under: uncultured Conexibacter sp.
Lineage: Bacteria; Bacillati; Actinomycetota; Thermoleophilia; Solirubrobacterales; Conexibacteraceae
Description: partial 16S ribosomal RNA
Rfam family: Bacterial small subunit ribosomal RNA
Source: RNAcentral
UACGUAGGGGGCAAGCGUUGUCCGGAAUCAUUGGGCGUAAAGAGCGUGUAGGCGGCCCGAUAAGUCCGUCGUGAAAGGCCGAGGCUCAACCUCGGAAAGCCGGUGGAUACUGUCGGGCUAGAGUCCGGAAGAGGCGAGUGGAAUUCCUGGUGUAGCGGUGAAAUGCGCAGAUAUCAGGAGGAACACCAAUGGCGAAGGCAGCUCGCUGGGACGGUUACUGACGCUGAGACGCGAAAGCGUGGGGAGCAAACAGG